RNAcentral lists this ribosomal RNA (467 nucleotides) under Sutcliffiella horikoshii. RNAcentral's name for it is "bacterial SSU rRNA". It matches the Rfam family "Bacterial small subunit ribosomal RNA", at positions 1 to 455 of the family's 1533-position model. Lineage: Bacteria; Bacillati; Bacillota; Bacilli; Caryophanales; Bacillaceae. The record is from RNAcentral.
UUUAUUGGAGAGUUUGAUCCUGGCUCAGGACGAACGCUGGCGGCGUGCCUAAUACAUGCAAGUCGAGCGGACCUUUUAAAAGCUUGCUUUUGAAAGGUCAGCGGCGGACGGGUGAGUAACACGUGGGCAACCUGCCUGUAAGACUGGGAUAACUUCGGGAAACCGGAGCUAAUACCGGAUAAUAUAAAGAACCUCCUGGUUCUUUAUUGAAAGAUGGUUUCGGCUAUCACUUACAGAUGGGCCCGCGGCGCAUUAGCUAGUUGGUGAGGUAAUGGCUCACCAAGGCGACGAUGCGUAGCCGACCUGAGAGGGUGAUCGGCCACACUGGGACUGAGACACGGCCCAGACUCCUACGGGAGGCAGCAGUAGGGAAUCUUCCACAAUGGACGAAAGUCUGAUGGAGCAACGCCGCGUGAGCGAUGAAGGCCUUCGGGUCGUAAAGCUCUGUUGUUAGGGAAGAACAAGUG